This is a long non-coding RNA of Serinus canaria (Common canary), 931 nucleotides long. RefSeq lists it as uncharacterized. The record is from RefSeq and is a predicted model, not a curated record. The transcript is spliced from 2 exons. Lineage: Eukaryota; Metazoa; Chordata; Aves; Passeriformes; Fringillidae.
GGUCCUUCUGGGAUUCCAUGGAAUGCACCUGCCCAUCCUGGUCCUGCAUCCCCUGGGCAGGUUUGGGGUGACACCGAGCUGGCAGUGGUGGCUGUGCCCCUGGGACCUCCCCAGGCUGGAGAAGUGCCCUGUGAGACCCUCCUGCAGCUCAGCAAGGACAGGGCCGAGCCCUGGGCACGUGCCCAGCUGCCAGGACAGGCUGGGGCCACCCCCACACAGGGCAGGGACAGCCUGGCACGGGGACACCGAGGUGACCCAGCAGCAGUGACGUGUCCUUGGGAGGGCCUGUGGCUCCUGGGCUGGCAUUCCUGGCGAGGAGGGGACAGUCCUGCCCCUGUGCCUGGCACCAGAGAGGCCACCCUGGGUCCAGCUGAGCUGCCCAGGACAGCAGGGACAGGGAGGGACCAUGACAGCCACAGAGGUGACACCUGGAGGGGCCGAGGGCACUGGGAUCAGUUAUUCACACUGUUGGGGGACUCAGGGAAACUGAGGCAGGAUCUUUCUUCUCAGUGGUGCCUGGGGAGAAGACAAGGGGCAGGAAUAAAGGGAAUUCUGUCCCCCUGCAGCAGGGGACAGAGCCUCACCCUGUGGGACAGGAAAGGCUCCCCGUGCUAACCUGCUCUUCCCUCUUUGCAGGCUAGGAGGGGCCGCAGGCUGGACAGCAGCUCAGGCUCGGCGGUUGCUCCUGCCAUCGAGGGACGUCUCCCCCCUCAGAAGAGGCAGUUCCAGCCCAUCCAUCACCAUCGUGCGACUGUGACCGAUCUCCGCCACCUCCGCCGGGAGCCAGCACCGGGAGCUGUCCCGAGGCCUCUCCGCGGGCUCUGCCCUCGGGCCAUUGCAUGUUCCCUCGGUGUGUGACCAGCCCCGUCCCACCCGGCUCCGCCUCGCACGGCAGGCUUCGAAACAAAAAUAACACCCGAAAGGACACUGC